AAACUGUAAUCUUUAUCAGAUAACUCUCGGAUUUUAUUUCUCACCCUACGAGUGUCAGAAAAAUAUGAAACUUUAAAUCUAGCCUCAUAAAAAUAUUUCUGACUUAUCCUCCAAUUUUCAUAAUUUUCUGAGACUGUGCAUUUUCUGCUAAUUUAUCUGUCCCGUUUCCAACAGAAAAUUCUAAAUCUUCUGUUUUCAUUCCGAUUUCGGCACAAGUCACUUCUGAUUUAUGUUUUACUUCUAUAAAUCCAAUAAAAAUAGUUUCU
Molecule: long non-coding RNA, 266 nt
Filed under: Ananas comosus (pineapple)
Lineage: Eukaryota; Viridiplantae; Streptophyta; Magnoliopsida; Poales; Bromeliaceae
Description: long non-coding RNA (ACOM_LNC020053)
Source: RNAcentral